AUUGAACGCUGGCGGCAUGCUUUACACACGCAAGUCGAACGGUAACAGGCCUUCGGGUGCUGACGAGUGGCGAACGGGUGAGUAAUGCAUCGGAACGUACCCAGAGGUGGGGGAUAACGCAGCGAAAGCUGUGCUAAUACCGCAUGUGAUCUGAGGAUGAAAGCGGGGGACCGAGCAGCAAUGUUUGGCCUCGCGCCUUUGGAGCGGCCGAUGUCGGAUUAGCUAGUUGGUGGGGUAAAGGCCUACCAAGGCGACGAUCCGUAGCUGGUCUGAGAGGACGACCAGCCACACUGGGACUGAGACACGGCCCAGACUCCUACGGGAGGCAGCAGUGGGGAAUUUUGGACAAUGGGCGCGAGCCUGAUCCAGCAAUGCCGCGUGCGGGAAGAAGGCCUUCGGGUUGUAAACCGCUUUUGGCAGGAACGAAACGGUGUCCGCUAAUACCGGGCGCUAAUGACGGUACCUGCAGAAUAAGCACCGGCUAACUACGUG
RNAcentral lists this ribosomal RNA (492 nucleotides) under uncultured bacterium. Its description in RNAcentral is "partial 16S ribosomal RNA". It matches the Rfam family "Bacterial small subunit ribosomal RNA", at positions 29 to 507 of the family's 1533-position model. The record is from RNAcentral.